AGCGAACGCUGGCGGCAGGCUUAACACAUGCAAGUCGAGCGGGCACUUUCGGAUGUCAGCGGCGGACGGGUGAGUAACGCGUGGGAACGUGCCCUCUGGUUCGGAAUAACUCAGGGAAACUUGAGCUAAUACCGGAUACGCCCUUUUGGGGAAAGGCUUGCUGCCGGAGGAUCGGCCCGCGUCUGAUUAGCUAGUUGGUGAGGUAACGGCUCACCAAGGCGACGAUCAGUAGCUGGUCUGAGAGGAUGAUCAGCCACACUGGGACUGAGACACGGCCCAGACUCCUACGGGAGGCAGCAGUGGGGAAUAUUGGACAAUGGGCGCAAGCCUGAUCCAGCCAUGCCGCGUGAGUGAUGAAGGCCUUAGGGUUGUAAAGCUCUUUUAUCCGGGACGAUAAUGACGGUACCGGAGGAAUAAGCCCCGGCUAACUUCGUG
This 435-nucleotide ribosomal RNA is filed under the name uncultured bacterium. RNAcentral describes it as "partial 16S ribosomal RNA". It matches the Rfam family "Bacterial small subunit ribosomal RNA", at positions 29 to 507 of the family's 1533-position model. The record is from RNAcentral.